AUUGAACGCUGGCGGCAGGCCUAACACAUGCAAGUCGAGCGGAUGAAGGGAGCUUGCUCCUGGAUUCAGCGGCGGACGGGUGAGUAAUGCCUAGGAAUCUGCCUGGUAGUGGGGGAUAACGUCCGGAAACGGGCGCUAAUACCGCAUACGUCCUGAGGGAGAAAGUGGGGGAUCUUCGGACCUCACGCUAUCAGGUGAGCCUAGGUCGGAUUAGCUAGUUGGUGGGGUAAAGGCCUACCAAGGCGACGAUCCGUAACUGGUCUGAGAGGAUGAUCAGUCACACUGGAACGGAGACACGGUCCAGACUCCUACGGGAGGCAGCAGUUGGGAAUAUUGGACAAUGGGCGAAAGCCUGAUCCAGCCAUGCCGCGUGUGUGAAGAAGGUCUUCGGAUUGUAAAGCACUUUAAGUUGGGAGGAAGGGCAGUAAGUUAAUACCUUGCUGUUUUGACGUUACCAACAGAAUAAGCACCGGCUAACUUCGUG
RNAcentral lists this ribosomal RNA (484 nucleotides) under uncultured bacterium. Its description in RNAcentral is "partial 16S ribosomal RNA". It matches the Rfam family "Bacterial small subunit ribosomal RNA", at positions 30 to 507 of the family's 1533-position model. The record is from RNAcentral.